UGGGGAAUUUUGGACAAUGGGGGAAACCCUGAUCCAGCCAUCCCGCGUGUGCGAUGAAGGCCUUCGGGUUGUAAAGCACUUUUGGCAGGAAAGAAACGUCAUGGGUUAAUACCCCGUGAAACUGACGGUACCUGCAGAAUAAGCACCGGCUAACUACGUGCCAGCAGCCGCGGUAAUACGUAGGGUGCAAGCGUUAAUCGGAAUUACUGGGCGUAAAGCGUGCGCAGGCGGUUCGGAAAGAAAGAUGUGAAAUCCCAGAGCUCAACUUUGGAACUGCAUUUUUAACUACCGGGCUAGAGUGUGUCAGAGGGAGGUGGAAUUCCGCGUGUAGCAGUGAAAUGCGUAGAUAUGCGGAGGAACACCGAUGGCGAAGGCAGCCUCCUGGGAUAGCACUGACGCUCAGGCACGAAAGCGUGGGGAGCAAACAGG
Molecule: ribosomal RNA, 429 nt
Filed under: Acidobacteriota bacterium
Lineage: Bacteria; Pseudomonadati; Acidobacteriota
Description: Acidobacteria bacterium partial 16S ribosomal RNA
Rfam family: Bacterial small subunit ribosomal RNA
Source: RNAcentral